Molecule: ribosomal RNA, 253 nt
Filed under: uncultured bacterium
Lineage: Bacteria
Description: partial 16S ribosomal RNA
Rfam family: Bacterial small subunit ribosomal RNA
Source: RNAcentral
UACGUAGAGUGCAAGCGUUGUCCGGAAUUAUUGGGCGUAAAGGGUGCGCAGGCGGAUAGUAAAGUCAAGCGUGAAAGGUGUCGGCUUAACCGACAGACUGCGUUUGAAACUGAUUAUCUUGAGUGUAACAGAGGAGAGUGGAAUUCCUAGUGUAGUGGUGAAAUACGUAGAUAUUAGGAAGAACACCAGUGGCGAAGGCGACUCUCUGGGUUAACACUGACGCUGAGGUACGAAAGCUGGGGGAGCAAACGGG